Molecule: ribosomal RNA, 210 nt
Filed under: Triticum aestivum (bread wheat)
Lineage: Eukaryota; Viridiplantae; Streptophyta; Magnoliopsida; Poales; Poaceae
Description: partial small subunit ribosomal RNA
Source: RNAcentral
AUGAAAAGCAAGAAGGAGGGUGGGCUAGGCUUCCGGGAUCUGCAUAUUUUCAACAAAGCAAUGCUAGCAAGGCAGAGCUGGAGGCUUAUACAGAAUCCGGAGUCCCUGUGUGCAAUUGUGCUCAAGGAAAAAUACUUUCCAAAGUGUUCUAUUCUGGAGGCGGAGGAACAGCCGGGAAUGUCGUACACAUGGAGAAGCAUUUUAAGAGGG